UAGGGAAUCUUCCACAAUGGACGCAAGUCUGAUGGAGCAACGCCGCGUGAGUGAAGAAGGUUUUCGGACCGUAAAGCUCUGUUGUUGGUGAAGAAGGAUAGAGGUAGUAACUGACCUUUAUUUGACGGUAAUCAACCAGAAAGUCACGGCUAACUACGUGCCAGCAGCCGCGGUAAUACGUAGGUGGCAAGCGUUGUCCGGAUUUAUUGGGCGUAAAGCGAGCGCAGGCGGAAGAAUAAGUCUGAUGUGAAAGCCCUCGGCUUAACCGAGGAAUUGCAUCGGAAACUGUUUUCUUGAGUGCAGAAGAGGAGAGUAGAACUCCAUGUGUAGCGGUGGAAUGCGUAGAUAUAUGGAAGAAUACCAGUGGCGAAGGCGGCUCUCUGGUCUGCAACUGACGCUGAGGCUCGAAAGCAUGGGUAGCGAACAGGAUUAGAUACCCUGGUAGUCCAUGCCG
Molecule: ribosomal RNA, 454 nt
Filed under: uncultured bacterium
Lineage: Bacteria
Description: partial 16S ribosomal RNA
Rfam family: Bacterial small subunit ribosomal RNA
Source: RNAcentral